AUUUUAUGCUCUGUAAUUGGAAUGAUGGGAAUGUAAAACCCUUCCAGAGUAACAAUUGGAGGGCAAGUCUGGUGCCAGCAGCCGCGGUAAUUCCAGCUCCAAUAGUGUAUAUUAGAGUUGUUGCAGUUAAAAAGCUCGUAGUUGGAUUUCUGCUGUGGUCAUCCGGUACCGCCCGUAUGGGUGCGCACCUGGUUUGGCUGCGGCUUUCUUCCUGUAGCCGUCCGCGCUUAAUUGCGUGUGCUGUGUUACGGAACUUUUACUUUGAGAAAAAUAGAGUGUUUCAAGCAGGCUUGUCGCCCUGAAUACUUCAGCAUGGAAUAAUAGGAUAGGACCUUGGUUCUAUUUUGUUGGUUUCUAGGACCAAGGUAAUGAUUAAUAGGUACAGUGGGGGGGGCAUU
This 398-nucleotide ribosomal RNA is filed under the name Eimeria christenseni. Its description in RNAcentral is "SSU rRNA". It matches the Rfam family "Eukaryotic small subunit ribosomal RNA", at positions 492 to 894 of the family's 1831-position model. Lineage: Eukaryota; Apicomplexa; Conoidasida; Eucoccidiorida; Eimeriidae. The record is from RNAcentral.